RNAcentral lists this ribosomal RNA (893 nucleotides) under uncultured bacterium. RNAcentral describes it as "bacterial SSU rRNA". It matches the Rfam family "Bacterial small subunit ribosomal RNA", at positions 21 to 900 of the family's 1533-position model. The record is from RNAcentral.
GGCUCAGAACGAACGCUGGCGGCGCGUUUUAAGCAUGCAAGUCGGACGGCAAGCACUGUAGCAAUAUGGUGCCUAGAGUGGCGAACGGGUGAGUAACACGUAGGUGAUCUGCCUCUGGAUGGGGGAUAGCCCGUGGAAACACGGGGUAAUACCGCAUGAGGCCUUGAGGGUAAAGCCUUGAGGUGAAAGGUGCAAUUGCACCGUCUGGGGAUGAGCCUGCGCUCCAUUAGUUAGUUGGCGGGGUAAGAGCCCACCAAGACGACGAUGGAUAGCCGGCCUGAGAGGGUGUACGGCCACACUGGAACUGAGACACGGUCCAGACUCCUACGGGAGGCAGCAGCUAAGAAUCUUCCGCAAUGGGGGAAACCCUGACGGAGCGACGCCGCGUGGAUGAUGAAGGCCGUAAGGUUGUAAAAUCCUUUUGUCGGUGAAGAAUAAGGGGAGGAGUGGAAAGCCUCUCUGAUGACGUUAGCCGGCGAAUAAGCCCCGGCCAAUUACGUGCCAGCAGCCGCGGUAAUACGUAUGGGGCAAGCGUUGUUCGGAGUUAUUGGGCGUAAAGGGCGUGUAGGCGGCUCAUCAAGUCUGGUGUGAAAUCGCAAGGCUCAACCUUGCAUAUGCGCUGGAAACUGGUGGGCUUGAGUUCUUGAGGGGAAGCUGGAAUUCCAGGUGUAGGGGUGAAAUCUGUAGAUAUCUGGAAGAACACCGGUGGCGAAGGCGAGCUUCUAUCAGAGGACUGACGCUGAGGCGCGAAAGCGUGGGGAGCAAACAGGAUUAGAUACCCUGGUAGUCCACGCUGUAAACGAUGUGCACUAGGCGUGGGGCACGUACGUGCUCUGUGCCGUAGUUAACGUGAUAAGUGCACCGCCUGGGGAGUAUGCUCGCAAGGGUGAAAC